CCUACGGGUGGCAGCAGUGGGGGAUAUUGCACAAUGGGGGGAACCCUGAUGCAGCGACGCCGCGUGAGCGAUGAAGUAUUUCGGUAUGUAAAGCUCUAUCAGCAGGGAAGAAAAUGACGGUACCUGACUAAGAAGCCCCGGCUAACUACGAGCCAGCAGCCGCGGUCUUCCGUAGGGGGCAAGCGUGAUGGGGAUUUACUGGGUGUAAAGGGAGCGUAGACGGCAGUGCAAGUCUGAAGUGAAAGGCAAGGGCUCAACCUUUGGACUGCUUUGGAAACUGGGCUGCUGGAGUGUUGGAGAGGCAAGUGGAAUUCCUAGUGUAGAGGUGAAAUGCGUAGAUAUUAGGAGGAACACCAGUGGCGAAGGCGGCUUGCUGGACGAUGACUGACGUUGAGGCUCGAAAGCGUGGGGAGCAAACAGGAUUAGAUACCCGAGUAGUC
RNAcentral lists this ribosomal RNA (440 nucleotides) under uncultured bacterium. RNAcentral describes it as "partial 16S ribosomal RNA". It matches the Rfam family "Bacterial small subunit ribosomal RNA", at positions 338 to 795 of the family's 1533-position model. The record is from RNAcentral.